GAUGAAGAACGCAGCGAAAUGCGAUAAGUAAUGCGAAUUGCAGAAUUCAGUGAAUCAUCGAAUCUUUGAACGCACAUUGCGCCCGCCAGUAUUCUGGCGGGCAUGCCUGUCUGAGCGUCGUUUCGACCCUCGCGCCCGGCUUCUGUCGGGGGCGGUGUUGGGGAUCGGCCACACCCUUCAGUGGGAGGCCGGCCCCUAAAUUCAGUGGCGACCACGCUGUAGCCUCCCCUGCGUAGUACUAAAACCACCUCGCAGGCGGAGAGCGGUGCGGCCCGCCGUAAAACCCCCCAACUUUUACAAGGUCGACCUCAGAUCAGGUAGGAAUACCCGCUGAACUUAAGCAUAUCAUAAGCGGAGGA
Molecule: unclassified non-coding RNA, 359 nt
Filed under: soil metagenome
Description: partial contains 5.8S ribosomal RNA, internal transcribed spacer 2, and large subunit ribosomal RNA
Rfam family: 5.8S ribosomal RNA (bases 1-120)
Source: RNAcentral